Molecule: non-coding RNA, 109 nt
Organism: Helianthus annuus (common sunflower)
Lineage: Eukaryota; Viridiplantae; Streptophyta; Magnoliopsida; Asterales; Asteraceae
Source: Rfam
CAUAAGUAGUUGCUUCUUGCUGUAAAUAUGGACAGAUAGUGAUUUUAUGUUGUUUUUAGGUGGGCAUUUUGUGAAGAAAAUGAUGUCCACAAAAGACCUACAUACAUUA